UCCGGUUUGACACCGGCAGUCUCCCUAGAGUUCCCAACUUAAUGGUGGCAACAAGGGACAGGGGUUGCGCUCGUUGCGGGUCUUAACCCAACAUCUCACGACACGAGCUGACGACAGCCAUGCAGCACCUCGACUCUAUUCCCUUGCGGGAUAUCUGUGUUUCCACAAACGUUAAAAAGCCGUUCGAGCCCAGGUAAGGUUCUUCGCGUUGCGUCGAAUUGAACCACAUGCUCCACCGCUUGUGCGGGCCCCCGUCAAUUCCUUUGAGUUUCAGCCUUGCGGCCGUACUCCCCAGGCGGAGUGCUUAAUGCGUUUACUGCAGCACUAAAGGGCGGAAACCCUCUAACACUUAGCACUCAUCGUUUACGGCGUGGACUAC
Molecule: unclassified non-coding RNA, 379 nt
Filed under: uncultured bacterium
Lineage: Bacteria
Description: contains 16S-23S intergenic spacer region
Source: RNAcentral